Molecule: ribosomal RNA, 800 nt
Filed under: uncultured Actinomycetes bacterium
Lineage: Bacteria; Bacillati; Actinomycetota; Actinomycetes
Description: bacterial SSU rRNA
Rfam family: Bacterial small subunit ribosomal RNA
Source: RNAcentral
GAGUUUGAUCCUGGCUCAGGACGAACGCUGGCGGCGCGCCUAACACAUGCAAGUUAAGCGACUAACCAUCCGCUUGCGGAUGCUGAAAGCGGUGAACGGUUGAGAAUCACGCGAUUAACCAACCCUCGGGUUCUGUAUAGCCCGUGAAAACGCGCAUUAAUACCGAAUGGCCUAUUAGCUCUACGGAUCCGAAAGAAAAGGUAGCUUCGGCUUCCGGCUGAGGACGGGCUCGCGUCCGAUUAGCUAGUUGGUGAGGUAAUGGCUCACCAAGGCUCCGAUCGGUAGCUGGUCUGAGAGGACGAUCAGCCACACUGGGACUGAGACACGGCCCAGACUCCUACGGGAGGCAGCAGUGGGGAAUCUUGCGCAAUGGGCGAAAGCCUGACGCAGCGACGCCGCGUGCGGGAAGAAGGCCUUCGGGUUGUAAACCGCUUUCAGGAGGGACGAAGCCCCUCGGGUUAAUAGCCCAGAGGGUGACGGUACCUCCAGAAGAAGCCCCGGCUAACUACGUGCCAGCAACCGCGGUAAUACGUAGGGGGCAAGCGUUGUCCGGAUUCAUUGGGCGUAAAGCGCGUGUAGGCGGUUCAAUAGGUCCGAUGUGAAAACUCGAGGCUCAACUUCGAGAGGCCAUCGGAAACCCUUGGACUAGAGUCCGGAAGAGGAGAGUGGAAUUCCUGGUGUAGCGGUGAAAUGCGCAGAUAUCAGGAAGAACCCCGAUGGCGAAGGCAGCUCUCUGGGACGGUACUGACGCUAAGACGCGAAAGCGUGGGGAGCGAACAGGAUUAGAUACCCUGGUAGUC